GAUGAACGCUGGCGGCGUGCUUAACACAUGCCAGUCGAACGAUGAAGCCCAGCUUGCUGGGUGGAUUAGUGGCGAACGGGUGAGUAACACGUGAGUAACCUGCCCUUAACUCUGGGAUAAGCCUGGGAAACUGGGUCUAAUACCGGAUAGGAGCGUCCACCGCAUGGUGGGUGUUGGAAAGAUUUAUCGGUUUUGGAUGGACUCGCGGCCUAUCAGCUUGUUGGUGAGGUAAUGGCUCACCAAGGCGACGACGGGUAGCCGGCCUGCGAGGGUGACCGGCCACACUGGGACUGAGACACGGCCCAGACUCCUACGGGAGGCAGCAGUGGGGAAUAUUGCACAAUGGGCGCAAGCCUUAUGCAGCGACGCCGCGUGAGGGAUGACGGCCUUCGGGUUGUAAACCUCUUUCAGUAGGGAAGAAGCGAAAGUGACGGUACCUGCAGAAGAAGCACCGGCUAACUACGUG
RNAcentral lists this ribosomal RNA (466 nucleotides) under uncultured bacterium. RNAcentral's name for it is "partial 16S ribosomal RNA". It matches the Rfam family "Bacterial small subunit ribosomal RNA", at positions 28 to 507 of the family's 1533-position model. The record is from RNAcentral.